RNAcentral lists this ribosomal RNA (478 nucleotides) under uncultured bacterium. Its description in RNAcentral is "partial 16S ribosomal RNA". It matches the Rfam family "Bacterial small subunit ribosomal RNA", at positions 28 to 507 of the family's 1533-position model. The record is from RNAcentral.
GAUGAACGCUAGCGGCAGGCCUAACACAUGCAAGUCGAGGGAGAAGCCCUUUCGGGGGCAGACACCGGCGCACGGGUGCGUAACGCGUAUGCAACCUCCCUUUCACAGGGGGAUAGCCCGAAGAAAUUUGGAUUAAUACCCCAUAAUAUUAUUGGAUGGCAUCAUUUGAUAAUUAAAACUGCGGUGGUGAAAGAUGGGCAUGCGUCCUAUUAGCUAGUUGGAGUGGUAACGGCACCCCAAGGCUACGAUAGGUAGGGGUCCUGAGAGGGAGAUCCCCCACACUGGUACUGAGACAGGGACCAGACUCCUACGGGAGGCAGCAGUGAGGAAUAUUGGUCAAUGGUCGGAAGACUGAACCAGCCAUGCCGCGUGCAGGAAGAAUGCCUUAUGGGUUGUAAACUGCUUUUAUAUGGGAAGAAUAAGGUGUACGUGUACAUUGAUGACGGUACCAUAUGAAUAAGCAUCGGCUAACUCCGUG